AUCCUGGCUCAGAACGAACGCUGGCGGCAGGCUUAACACAUGCAAGUCGAGCGCCCCGCAAGGGGAGCGGCAGACGGGUGAGUAACGCGUGGGAAUCUACCCUUUUCUACCGGAAUAACGCAUGGAAACGUGUGCUAAUACCGUAUGAGCCCUUCGGGGGAAAGAUUUAUCGGGAAAGGAUGAGCCCGCGUUGGAUUAGCUAGUUGGUGGGGUAAAGGCCUACCAAGGCGACGAUCCAUAGCUGGUCUGAGAGGAUGAUCAGCCACAUUGGGACUGAGACACGGCCCAAACUCCUACGGGAGGCAGCAGUGGGGAAUAUUGGACAAUGGGCGUCAAGCCUGAUACCAGCCAUGCCGCGUGAGUGAUGAAGGCCCUAGGGUUGUAAAGCUCUUUCACCGGUGAAGAUAAUGACGGUAACCGGAGAAGAAGC
Molecule: ribosomal RNA, 430 nt
Filed under: Ensifer sp. CL2.43
Lineage: Bacteria; Pseudomonadati; Pseudomonadota; Alphaproteobacteria; Hyphomicrobiales; Rhizobiaceae
Description: bacterial SSU rRNA
Rfam family: Bacterial small subunit ribosomal RNA
Source: RNAcentral